Molecule: long non-coding RNA, 1014 nt
Filed under: Mus musculus (house mouse)
Lineage: Eukaryota; Metazoa; Chordata; Mammalia; Rodentia; Muridae
Source: RNAcentral
UCAGGCCGAACCCAGAGCGUGCAUGCUCCCUUCGUGUCCCUUGUCCUAAGUUAAUGAGUAAACUUUGGUUAGGACGUUUGGCUUGUGAUAUUUCGGUGGCGGACACCCAACGUCUUAUCCUUCACUUAAACUUAAUCCUGCAGACCCAGCACCGGGGCAGGUUAGCCUUUUCUUCUCCAAGCUCACCCGCCCUCGCCCCUAUAAACUACCAAUGGACAUCCUCUGUGUUGGUCACUGGGAAGCACUGAAGGCUCGAAGGUGAUCUUUGAAAUAGCAUGGAGGAUUGCAACGCGUGGACUGCACGUGCGUAGCAGAGCUAAGCGGUUUGCUUAAGUGCAGUUAUCUUUGUUAUUGGUCAAAUUUAAGAAUGAAUAUUAAUCUCCAUUUUAUGGAAGGGAAGUUGAUAACCACAAUUCAGUGGUACGCAGAGGUCACCAGGCCAAUAGAUAUUACAGCGACGAUUUCUACCCUAGAUGGGCAGAUUACAAAGUGGGAAUAGUUAACCACUUUAUCUAUAUCUAUAUAUCUAUAUAGAUAUUCUCUACUCCCCCAGAAUCUUUUUCACAAACAUUUCUAUGUAAAUAGAAUAACUUCAUAGAGAAAGUAAAACACUCUUACAAUAAAAAAAUACAAAAAAAUGGAAGCAUCUCCUGCCCUUGCAGAAAAAUAUGAAACGCUUUGAGCCUCUCUCUUCUGACGACAUGCCCAGCUGUAUCACAGAGGAGAGUGUUAAGUCAGAACGGCGAUCUCCAUGACGACGGAGGGGAGCGGCUACCAAAAUGACCUUCCAAAGGACGGCCACCUCUGAAUGCUGUGAUACAGUGGUAACAUGGGAAAAUAAAGUCUAGCUAUUAGGAAUGAACUCUGUGAGGAGAAAGGAACCUUUAUUUAGGAAUUGUGUGAGAGAAAAGAGAGGUACAAGGAAAAUACAUUUCGAAGAUCUAACGACCACCACUUAUCUUAUCUCAAGACAAUAUUCAACUCUGUCAAAAUCCUAACAGUAAAGGAAAAAGG